GUAUUUGACAUCAUGAAUAGCAAUCUCUAUACACAUUUUUUUAUAAGUGACAAAGGGACAAAACAAAACUGACCAAAACUUGUACACUAUCUAUAUAUCACCAUUUGAGAGGUGGUGUGUGGCCUUAUGACUAAACUAUAUAACAAGAAAAUUAUGUACAUUGAGAAUUCUAUGCUUUGUGAAACCAAAAAAGUUAAACUUGAUACAUCAUACCAACUUCUAGUGAUGAUGCAUGAGGUACACCAAGUACAAAGGAUGGUGCCCUACUAUUCCUUCUUAGAAAUUCAUACACAAAAUUAAUAGCUAUUUUCUUUAUAGUACUAGACCCUGGUUUAGCCUUCAUGUAAGAAUGUCCUAUAAUAUAAGCUAUUCCAGCUUCUCUUGCUUCCAUCACUUCUUCUAACUCUUCCUUUGCUUCUGUAUCAAUCUUAGGGCUCUCAGGUACCAAAAACCUCACCUUUUUCUUCUGUUGAUUCACCUGUGGCGAUUUUAUCUCCUUAAGUUCUGAUGACGUCUCUUCCGAGUCGACAUUAUCAACAUUAUUAUCCGAAUUAUUAUCGCUGCACCUCAAAAUGGUUUGUGAAGAAUAUGUCCCAACAACUGUCAUUUUGUCAUGUUUUUCGACCUCGUCAUUUGAAGAUAUUCCGAUGCUCCCUGUGCGUAUGAAUUCAGCUAUGCUGCAUAAGAGAUCGUUCUCAAACUCAACAUCAUCUUUGUGGAUAUCGCGGUAUCCAUACCGCACUAUGCAACGAUAGAUUCUGAAAUUCCGCGGACCAACACGGCCGACUAGAAAUCUUUCCUCGGGUCUAACGUGCGGAACGGGCACAUGUUUGAUGCAGAGAAAGACUAGGAUCUGAUGGAAAGCUGGAAGGUUGGUCACAAAGUGGGAAAAGAUGACAGGAAUUCCGGAUACUAGGUCUGUAUGUAUAAGGCCAACACCACGCACUCGUACGAUGCCUAUGCUUGGACCUAUGCCAAGCAGCCAGUUGAUGGAAACCUUGUUUUGAACAUCAAAUUCGUACUUUUUGUGCGUGCCGUAGUGCCAGACAUACAUGACAGUUAUAAAAACAAAUGCCAAUGCAAUCGGCACCCAUGCUCCUUGUAGAAACUUGGUAAGAGAAGCUGAAAAGAAGACAGACUCAAUGGUGCCAAAAAAGAGAACAAACGCGAGUGCAAAGAAAACAUUCUGGUGCCAGCAUAGUACAAUAACCAGUGACAUCAAACAGGUGGUUACCAGCAUCACUGUGAUAACUGCCAAACCUGUUAGGCAAAGAGCAUUAUGUCAGAUAUGAUCGCAACUAACGAAAUAACCAAUUACAAGCACAAGUCAAAUAAGCAAUUACAAGCAUUAACGAUAUAACCAAUUUCGCACUGAUAAGACACAACAUUGACACACCAACACCAUUAAUAAUUUAAGAAAAUAGUACAAUUGAAUGUAGCUACAUUUGUUGGUGCCACUUGGUGUCAGACACCGACAUGGCUGAAGUGUCAGUGCUGCAUAGCUUAUGAUUAUGAUGGCAAUGUUACUUUGUGUUGCAUACAAAAUUCCACUGCAACUUAUAUAAAAUGCAUCCUCUUGCUGAAAAUUAAUGUAUGUGUAAUCUGCGAUUGUUGUCAUACCUGAGGCAUGGCCGAGAUGCUGUGUGUUUCUGAAACCAAUUGUAACAGCCAAGCACAAGAUCAUCAAUAGCCAAUUGAUCUCAGGGAUAUAUAUCUGCCCGUGAAUUUUGGAUGAUGUGUGAACCACUUUAACUCUUGGGAAGCAAUUUAAUGCAGAACAUUGCUUGAUAAUUGAGAAUGUUCCAGUUAUGAUGGCUUGGCUUCCAACAACAGCAGCAAAUACAGCAAGCACCAGAACAGGCCAUCUCAAUUUCUCUGGAAAGCAAAAGAGCGAACAAAUGUCAAUUAUCCGAGAACUCCUUCACAAUCUACAUCCUACCUACAAAACUAAAAUGAGUUAAGCAGCAGCUACCUGGAACAGAUACAUAAAACCCAAAGUGAUAAGCAUGCUCAGUAUCAUGAUGCCUUGAUAGAUAUGCAGCUUGUCCCAUAUAUGCAAGAAUUAAAGAUGGAUAAACCACAGAAGUGAAAGCAAUCUGCAAAAAGAGAUCUUAAUCAAAUAAGCAUUUCCAAAAGCUAUUUGACUAUAACAAUGAGUUUAUUUGGAAUGACUUAUUUGAGCUUAUCUACUGGCAUAAGCACUAUAGAGACUGUUUGAGAGAGCUUAUAAAAAUGACUUAUGACAUGUACAUAAGUUGUUUCGUCUUAUUUCCAUAAGCUCUCCAUGACAACUUAUUAAAAGUUAAAACAGGUUAUAGUUUAGAUGAAAACAGUUUGACUUUAUUUUAUAUAUUUGCUGUAGAAAUAGUUUUGUACAUAAGUGCUUAUUCUAUGAGCACUUUAUUAAGCUAUUUCUCCAAACAGGACCUAAAACCAAUAUGAGAAGCGAUGUUAACACUUAUCAGUUAUCAUAUCAAGGGGGAUAAGUUAAAACUUUUGGAGUGAACCAGAUGAAAUAAGCUAUCCAAACAGAGCAAGUGAAAUUGUGAGAAAUGCUAAUGUAUUGUGUUCGCUAAAUCUAAUACUCCCUCCGUUUCAAAAUGAGAGUCACUUUAGCUAAAAAAAUUUGUUUCAAAAUGAAUGUCACUUUACAUUUCCAAUACAACUUUAAUUUUUUCCUUCCAACUUUACCCUCUCCAACUUUUUCUCACAAUUUUCAAUGCAACUUUAAUUUUGUCUUUUUCUUAUAAAGUAAGGGCAGUUUGGUAAAAGUGUUAUAUCCAAUGAUUAUUUCAUUCCAUUUCUUAAUCUGUGUGCCAAAGCCUAAAGCGACACUCAUUUUGAAACGGAGGGAGUAUUAGUUAUAUUUGAUUGUCCUCUACACGAAACCAAAUUUAAAAAUAACAUACCUGGAUUGAUAAUUGUGAGAAGUGUCCAAGAUCAGCAAACAUGGCUUCUGACCCUGUAUAAGUGCAAAAGAAAUGGUGAGGAUAACGGCAUAAAAUAUAAGUUAACCAUCAACUAAAACAUACAGACCUGUUAUGGACAGCAAAACUCCACCAAGAGCCAUCCAACCUCCAGUUUGAUUUUGCCUCAUAAAUCGAAACGCAUAAAUUGGACAGAGUGCGCGGUAUAUCUGAGAGUUCCAGUGGAAUAUAUUAUAUAUUCCAAUGGCACUGAUGCAAAAUAGCCAUGCCAUAACUAUUGGAGCAAACAUGAAGCCGACUCGAUGAGUGCCAAAAUGUUGAAGCGCAAACAAGCCUACCAAUAUGAUGCAUGCAACUGGAACUUCUACAUCUGUCAAGCAACAAAUUUCAAAAGCGAUAUCAGCGAGGAAAGUGCCACAUCUCUCACAUAAAAAAGAGUGGUAUCAAAAUUCCACGUGCAGAUAUAAGCAAAAAGGUAUAUAACGGAAGAACAAAAUUAAAGCAUAACGAGACAAACAAUUUUUUCGUCUUCUUUAAUCCUUUCUGAUAAGUUAGCUAUCAAAAAAAAAAAAAAAAAAGAAAAUAUAAAUUUCUGAUAGGUGCGCAAGUCCAAAAAAGUCUUAUUACUGUUAAUUAUUAUAUUACAGGUGACCUACAUAUCUGUUACACCAUCCAUAGCAAGUUAGUAACAGUAUAGGACGUUAUUGCAGCAGAAUAGAUCUUAGGAUCCUUAAAAACCUCUAUUGAAAUGAGCAUAUAGCUCUUGCUUCAAUUAAAUAAUGACAGAUUUUGGCAUUUGGAAAGACCGACCAGUAUGGAAACUCCAAGAAUUCAAGUUCCAACUGAUCAUGUCACAGCUCAAUCAAACACAUCACACUUGUUAUUUAAGUUAUAUGCCUAAAGCAUACAGUACAAGCAUGCAGCUCAGAGUGUUGGAGCCCAUCACAUGUGAUCAUGUGGAUUUAGACUUUUUCAAGGACGGAUAUAAGUCACACCCUAAACGUGCAGAAACAAAUGCAACAUAAUUGUCUGUCCUUAAUACAAUUUUCUCACAAACAUUCCAACAAAAGUAUAAAGAAACACUGCCAAACUGAGAAAAAGGAGCAUCUAGACACUGAGAGAUAAACUACUAGUGGCAUAAUGAGAGAAAAAAAAGGCGUUUUUUCCUAAACAAAACAUAAAUCAGAAUUGAGAUAAAACUUACAUGCGUGAUGUUCCUUGGACAUUGAAAGCUCAAAUCCUGAUAUGGCUGAGAAAACUGCACUCAUUCAAAAUAACUUACUCAGUGACUUAAAGGGACUAAAGCAAAUAAAUUCCUAUACAAAUCUUAGAAACAGGAAAGAAAUUGAAAACAAGUUUCAAUUUUUUAAUUAAAAGUAAAAACAUGAAAUGGAUACAAGAGCAGUAAACAAUCAUUUUAGUCCCUAAAUAUAUUUAUUAGGUGUUGUUACUAUAGUCUUUGAAUGUAUCGAAAUUACAAAUAACAAGAGACAAACCCCCAGGGGUCGGCCUAGUGGUGUAGGCUUAGGACCCAGGAGUGUGCUCAUCACCAGGUCUUCGGUUCUAAUCCUCUAGAUGUUCAGAAUUCCUAUGUAGGGCCAGUCCAUACAGGACUUUUCCCAGGCAUCAAUUGGGCCUGCUAGUGGAUGGUGGGAUUGGUUCACGGAUUAAUCGGUCCUUGGACCAGAUACCGAGUUUCCGAAAAGAAAAAAAAAACAAAUAACAACAAAAAGACAGAUUUAGGCAUGCUUGUGGUAAUUUCAAUACAUCCAAAGACUGUCGCACUAUUGCGACAGUGUCUCACAAAUUUAAAGACCAAGAUGACUGUUUAGUUUACCCUAAAAACAGAAACAUUUUCUAAAGAAAUAAACAUAACAAAAUCAUCAUCAACAUAAUCAUCACCUGAAAGAGCAGGUGUAAGGACACCAUCACCAAUAACCAUACAAGUUCCAAUCAAAGCAAGAACAAGCAAAAACUUCUGCAAAACCUUCCUUUUCUCAAGUGUAGACUUAAGCCUAAAGGCAAAUCCUUUACCAUUUGAAACACCACCACCACAACCAUCUUUCUUAUACUCAGACAAUUCUUCAUCAGCCAAUUGACAAUUAGGAAGAGAAUUAACUUUAGCAUAUCUACACAACAAAGAGUAAAGUGCAAAAGUGCCUCCUUCACCAUUAUCAUCAGCUCUUAACACUAUGAACACAUAUUUAACCAAAGGAACUAAUGUAACAGACCAAAACACCAGAGACAAAACACCAUAAAUCUCUUCAUUUGUAUUUGAGUGUCCAAUUCCUUCACCAAAAGUACUUCUAAACACAUAUAAAGGUGAAAUGCUUAAAUCUCCAUAAACUACUCCAAGACUUUGAUAUGCUAGUGUUAGAACUGUUCUCCAUGAAUCUUUCUGCAAAAAUUUUAAAAAAAAACCAAAAAAAAAAAACAUCAGUGUAACAUUACAAACAUGUUCAAACGUUGUUAGAAUCGAAAAUAGAAUCUACCAAAGAAGUAAAAAUUGAAACUUUUAAGGUUUUGAAGCAUGCCCAUUCUGUUACCUUUGAAGAAUUUCGACGAGUUCCACCUUCUAGAUCCAUAACAUGCGAGGUUUUUGAAGUUUCAAAGAACCAUGUUUUUUUUUGUUUUCUGGAACCAAGAAUUUAAGGUUUUUGUUUUGAUG
This 5595-nucleotide long non-coding RNA is filed under the name Medicago truncatula (barrel medic). Its description in RNAcentral is "lncRNA gene30198". The record is from RNAcentral. Lineage: Eukaryota; Viridiplantae; Streptophyta; Magnoliopsida; Fabales; Fabaceae.